Molecule: long non-coding RNA, 1056 nt
Filed under: Citrus sinensis (sweet orange)
Lineage: Eukaryota; Viridiplantae; Streptophyta; Magnoliopsida; Sapindales; Rutaceae
Description: long non-coding RNA (CSIN_LNC002622)
Source: RNAcentral
CAAGUAACUCAGUAAGCUCGGUUUUCUUCUAUUCUCUUGGAUACUUGCUUACACAUUCCUUUUUUUUGUGUUAAAUUUGUUGUUUUGUUGUGUUAUAUGGAUCGAUGAGAGUCACAGACUUUGAAUUGAAAAAUGAAAAUUAGUUUUUUUUUCUGUGCUACAAAAAUGGGCGGAGACUGCAAGCAAGAGGGAAUGAAGCGACUCGAGUCACGAAGAGUCCUGUGACUUGCGAGAGGUGACAUGUAACUAUGAGAAAUUGAAAUAUUUGAUUAUCGAGUAAAUAACAUUGAGUUCCCUAUAUUUUUAUUUUUAGUAAAUAACGAUACAUUAGUUUCAGUUUAUUUCAAAUAGGUUCCUCAUCCUUUGCCAGUGACCAAGUUGUGCAACCCUAACAUCCACAGCACCUCUUUUCGCUUCAAUCAUGACCGGAGCAUCAGAGCUUGAGUCUAUCCUUUUAUGUUCAUCUCCGUCUUGUUCUUCAUCCAUUUUUGCAUCUUCUACAUGAAUGGCUUCUGGUUCUUUGGUUUGAUUUUCUUCUGUGCUGCCUUUUGGUUCUCUCCCUUCGCCGACUUGUUCAGCCACUUUCGUAGUUUCAAUUCUGGAGCUCUGAAGGGGGCCAGUCAAUGAAGCUGUAGCUGAGUCCAUCAAUGCUGAUUCCUCAGUUUUUAUUUCCCCUGAUUCUUGUGGUUGUUGCUCUCCUUCGAGGUUAAUCUUUGCUUUUUGUGGAGUUUCUGUGGUUCCUUAUUGCUCAAAAAUUUUUGGCGCAAACUCAUCUCCAGUUUGAACUGGUGUGUAUGGGCGCUCAAUGAGAUCUGCUUCAGUUGUUGCAUAAGAGCUUUUCUCUAACUCACUAGUUUCUUGAAUGAUUUUGCUGUCUGUUGCAAACCCCCUUAUGCUUUCUUUUUGUGACAUCGCCAUACUCGAUUCUUGAUAAAAUUAAAAGUAAAGCUGCUCAAAUUGUGAAAAAUAAAAGAAAAACCGAAAUGUCUAAUUAAUAUCUGCAAGCAAAAUGGCUUUCAUAAUUUAGCUGCAUUCUUGUCCUACUAAGUUAUGUUU